CUACGGGUCGCUGCAGUGAGGAAUAUUGCACAAUGGGGGGAACCCUGAUGCAGCAACGCCGCGUGGAGGAUGACGCAUUUCGGUGUGUAAACUCCUUUUAUAUGUCAAGAAAAUGACGGUAGCAUAUGAAUAAGCACCGGCUAACUCGCGUGCCAGCAGCCGCGGUAAUACGGAGGGUGCAAGCGUUACUCGGAAUCACUGGGCGUAAAGGACGCGUAGGCGGGUUGGAAAGUCAGGUGUGAAAUCCUACAGCUUAACUGUAGAACUGCACUUGAAGCUUCUAAUCUAGAGUAUGGGAGGGGGAGAUGGAAUUAGUGGUGUAGGGGUAAAAUCCGUAGAUAUCACUAGGAAUACCUAAAGCGAAGGCGAUCUCCUGGAACAUUACUGACGCUAAGGCGUGAAAGCGUGGGGAGCAAACAGGAUUAGAUACCCUCGUAGUC
This 440-nucleotide ribosomal RNA is filed under the name uncultured bacterium. Its description in RNAcentral is "partial 16S ribosomal RNA". It matches the Rfam family "Bacterial small subunit ribosomal RNA", at positions 339 to 795 of the family's 1533-position model. The record is from RNAcentral.